This 305-nucleotide ribosomal RNA is filed under the name uncultured bacterium. RNAcentral describes it as "bacterial SSU rRNA". It matches the Rfam family "Bacterial small subunit ribosomal RNA", at positions 334 to 656 of the family's 1533-position model. The record is from RNAcentral.
UUUCCCUACGGGACGCAGCAGUGGGGAAUAUUGCACAAUGGGGGGAACCCUGAUGCAGCGACGCCGCGUGAGUGAAGAAGUAUUUCGGUAUGUAAAGCUCUAUCAGCAGGGAAGAUAAUGACGGUACCUGACUAAGAAGCCCCGGCUAACUACGUGCCAGCAGCCGCGGUAAUACGUAGGGGGCGAGCGUUAUCCGGAUUUACUGGGUGUAAAGGGUGCGUAGGUGGCAGGGCAAGUCGGAUGUGAAAGCCCGGGGCCCAACCCCGGUACUGCAUUUGAAACUGUCCGGCUGGAGUGCAGGAGAG